Molecule: long non-coding RNA, 5460 nt
Organism: Mytilus californianus (California mussel)
Lineage: Eukaryota; Metazoa; Mollusca; Bivalvia; Mytilida; Mytilidae
Exons: 3
Source: RefSeq, a predicted model, not a curated record
CAGUCUGUAUGAUACUUCUAUGUGUGAAUUUUAUUUUUUGAGAAUAUGUGAUGUUGUAUGGUAGUUACGACUGGGUUUCUUCAUAUUUUUGUCAGCAAUACAUUUAUUAAUGGUUUUGAUUUGUUUAUUGAAGAAACAAGUGCACUCUAGAUAUUUUAUUUUCAUAAAAAUUAUUUUUCAAACCUUCAAAAUAAAAUUACAAAUGUAUAGAUGAAAAAAAUUGAACAAUCGUAUAAACCAACUGUCUGUGUGAGGAGUGAUGAAAACAACCAUAUUUGUACAGUUAAACUUAAUGUAGAGACAGCUAGAAUGGUGAUAAUAUGUGCUUCCAUCUGACAAUUAUAGGCGAAAAUACAUCUGUCAGUAUUGUUCUGUGAUAUAUCAUGUGAUCUAAGUAUGCCACCUGUUAUAGUCAUGUGACCUUCAUUGCAAUUCAUCCAUGUUGUAGUCAUGUGACCUCCAUUGCAAUUUCAUUGACGUUGUAUAAUCAUAGGUUGUCAUAAAUUUUAUUUUGUGAAAAUAAUAAGUAUAUUGUCAUCUCAGAGACCACUAUGAAAAUUUAGAAGACCACACAAUUUUAUGUUAGACAGCAGUCUAUAAAAGAAAAAUAAUUGAUGAUGUAAAGAGUGUAGAAGUUAAAUUUUUGAAAUUUACUAUCUAUAAAUCGUUCUUUGUGAACCAUAGAAAUGAAUUUUCAUGUAGUAAACAAACACAACAAUAUGUUUCUUACAGAACCAUUAAGGAACUUUCAAGGUUAAUUUCUAGUAUGAAAUCAUCAAAAUCCAGUGAAGUUUACUUGAUCAGAGACACAAAAGUUGAGACAUACUUGAACUUGACUCAUAGCAUUUAUAAUGUCCUAUAUUUUUAUCUGACAUUGUAUGACUGUAUAUUUUGAGAUCUUGAUAUUUUAAAGACACCAUUACACUGCCACAUAGCUUAUGAAGAAAAAAUUGUCAAAAAUAUCUGUAAUUAAUAACUGUAUGCAUGCUUUUUUACCUCAUUUAUAGAAAAUGCAUAAUGUAUACAUUGUCAUAAUUAGAUUUUUAUUUCAUUAUGUAGAUAUUAGUAUGGAUAACAUUUGGUUUUAACUGACAAUAACACUUGACCAUAAAAACGUUAAACAACUACAUAUUUUUACAUUUGAAUACAGGUACUGACAUGCAUUCUUAAAAUUAACAACUUGUAGUGCAUUUAUAGUACUAAGAAUAUUCUUUAGCAUGAUUAUAUUUACUAUCCCAGUGCAAAAUGAACUUGGUGUUUUGGCUAUAUUAGGUAUUUAUAAUACUGUGGAUUCAUUUAUUUUCGUGGGUACCAAUUUUCGUGGAUUGAGGAAAACUUGCAUUUUCGUGGAUAUUUGAUUUCGUGGUUUUCCAAAAGUCUCCAUUUAAUCAUACAGCAAAUUUGCAAUUUGUUGAAUAUUUAAAUUCGUGGUUUCCGUGUACCCACAAAAUCCAUGAAAAUUGGUAUCCAACAAAUAAUAAUGAAUCCACAGUAGUAGUUUAUAGAGACAGUUAUCAGUAAUGGAUAUUUUUAAAGUUGACUUGUUGAAGAAGUUUAGCAGUGUCUUACUAUUUUCUUUAAAUUAAGUGUUAUACUGAAUAACCAACAAAAGCUUUCAAGCAGAUGAUAGUUUAUUUGACUCAAUAAUACAAUAUUUUUUUACAAUCUAUGUACCUGGAUAUUGAAUGUACCAUAAUAACAUUUCAAACAUUAUACAUUUAUGAGUAGACCUCAAAUAAACUAUUAGUUACUAAAUAUGUUAUAAUGACUUCCCCUUGACCUUCCCCGUCUUUAUAGGUGACAUAAGUUUACCGUGUGGUCCUUUAAAAAAGCUUAUAAAGAGGGUAUGGAUGGGAGUGUGGGUCUUCAUUUCUGUAUACUUUAUUUUCUUGCCCAUUAUUCUUUCUUUGUUUUUUGCCCAUUAUUCUAUAUUCUAAAUUAUUCAAGCACCCCAUUUUUCUUUAAUUUUUAUUUUGCACAUUUUUCUCUAUUCAUUAUUUCUUUUUUUUUCUGGCCCAUUAUGCUAUCUGUAAACUCAAUCCAGACCCUCUUUUAUGUUAAAUCCAGUUUAAAAUUUAAAUUUGUUUUUAAUAGAAUACCAUUUUAGAUAGGCAAGUACAUGUAGUAAAAGAAAGGUUAAGAAGUCAUCCUUUAAGUGUCCUAAAUACAGGUUGUUCUAAAUUUUUAAAAAUGAAGAUUUUUAUUAUAUUUCUGUUAAAGAUAUAUACACAGCUAGCUUUAUAUAAUCAUAUAUUAAUGUACAGUGUUUAAGAACUUGUAGAAAAUCAUUCGAUCUUAGAUAAUAUUAAUGGGUUUAAAAACAGUUAUGACAAAACCAGGACAAUUUGAAAGACAACCAGCACAAAGUAAGAUUAAAUCACAUUUUUUUAUUUAGAGUGAUAGUAGUAUCCAUAAAAAGGCUCAUUUUCUGAAUUUUAUUCAGAAUCAAACCAAUUGCCAAUUUAAUCAAAAAUGCAUACACUUUAAAUUCAAACUGGAAUGGAUUCCAUGUACCCUUUUCCUGUUCCCUUUUCUGAAAUAAGGAAAUACUACCCAAAAAAACCUCCAUUAGAAAUUUUGUUUUGAUAAAGGAAAUUAAGUGUGACUAGCCUUUUAACAGAUGGACACAUGCACACAGGUUUAAUACAUAUUUCAUAAAUAUCAAACAUGUGUAUCUUAAGCAUGAAUACUUAUAAGAGGUUGUUGCCAUUGACUCUCAAAAAUUUAUCUCGAACAAAAUGUUGAUUGUGAAAUUUGAGGUCAGAUUUGCAUGUUUAUGAACUCUCUAACUAUAUAAAUAUCUCAUCUGAAGGAUAAAACAACAAUUUGCAACUGUUAAUGCUUUAUAUAUUGUUAUAUUUAAGUGGUAUGUUAUCAAAUACAUUUGACUCAUUAUGUUGUAGUUUAUAACUCAUGUUGGUCUUGAUGAUUUAUUUUUUAGCAAUUUAUUUAAAAUAUACAUACACAAAAAUGUGUAUCUGAAAUUUGUAAACAAUAAAACAGAUAAAAUAUUUGUUUUGAUGUUUUCCUAUAUUUGUAUACAGUUCAGGUGGAAUCAAUGAAGUUGAUUACACCAAUAUUAAAGAGCUGCGAGGGAAAGUCAGCCCAUUCAACACCUUAAAAUAUCUGCAAACACCUAAUAACCACAAUGAAGUGUAAAAUCAUACAGCUGCACACUAUAUUUUUGUUUAAAAGGCAGCAAUUUAGAAUGAGAAGACUCAAUGAUCUUGUAAUAGAAGGUAGAUAUACCUUAUAAAUGUAAGUUUUGUGAUUUUAGGAAACAAAUGGUUCUGUUGUACUAUAUUUCAGUGACUAAAGUACAUUAAUCACUUGGGUAUUGAAGGUGUGAUUACUUAGAGUAUAAGUGGUUCUUGUACAUUUGAUUCAAAUUAUUUAUCAAAUUAGAAGAUGUGGUAUGAUUGCCAUAUGACAUUUAUCCAACCAAGACCAAAUGAUGUAGAUGUAAGAAACUAUGGUCUGCAAAUUGACAAAAAAAUAUAAGGACCAUAAGAGCUACAGUUCUGUAGUAGUAGUUGAUCCAAAGUAUUGUGGUGUUGAGUUGUUCUGAGGUGUUGGAGAGAAUAAGCAGUGUCAGGUUCAGUAGUUGGACUAAAGUGUUGUGGUGUUGAUUUUUUCUGAGAUGUUGGAGAGAAUAAGCAGUGUCAGGUUCAGUAGUUGGACUAAAGUGUUGUGGUGUUGAUUUUUUCUGAGAUGUUGGAGAGAAUAAGCAGUGUCAGGUUCAGUAGUUAGACCAAAGUUGUGUGAUGUUAAGUUGUUCUGAGGUGUUGGAGAGAAUAAGCAGUGUCAGGUUCAGUAGUUGAUCCAAAGUAUUGUGGUGUUGAGUUGUUCUGAGGUGUUGGAGAGAAUAAGCAGUGUCAGGUUCAGUAGUUGUACCAGAGUGUUGUGGUGUUGAGGUGUUGGAGAGAAUAAGCAGUGUCAGGUUUAGUAGUUUUACCAGAGUGUUGUGGUGUUGAGUUGUUCUGAGGUGUUGGAGAGAAUAAGCAGUGUCAGGUUUAGUAGUUGGACCAAAGUGUUGUGGUGAUUAGUUUUUCAUAUGUUAGCUGUGAUGAAUGUCAUAUAGUGAGAGUCAAAAGGUGGGGAUUUUUUUGGUUAAAAGUACUUAGACCGUUGGUUUUCCCGUUUAAAUGGUUUUACACUAGUAAUUUUUGGGGCCCUUUAUAGCAUACUGUUCGGUGUGAGCCAAGGCUCCAUGUUGAAGACCGUACUGUGACCUAUAAUGGUUUACUUUUAUAAAUUUUGACUUGGAUGGAGAGUUGUCUCAUUGGCACUCAUUCCACAUCUUCUUAUAUCUAUUAGCAGUGAAUAAGAAUAACACUUGUCUGUUUGGUGCAUCAAAAACUGCUUCUCUUGAUUUACAACAUUUUUAAGUGACGUGGUAAUAUUUGGUCCAUAGAAUUUCUGUUUUAUUUUGUUGUUUAUCAGGUGACAUAUAUCUGUAUGUACAAUUGUAUACAGUAGGAAAAGUUCGCUUUAUAUGAAAUUGCGAAUGAAUGGAAAUACCAGAUAGUACAUUUCGUGGACGCUAGUAUUUUGAUGACUAGAUGAAUGAGUUACCCUGAACUCUGUACAACAGGUGGGUCCAAUUAUUAUUGCUUUCUGAUUGGGUGGUUCUAGAACAUAAAGUGAACCCCAGUCUUUGAGGUGAUUUGGUGUACGAGCAGUUCUAGCAUAGUAAGUUGACCUAAGUUUAGAAGUGACUGAGUGAAUGGUGCUAUCGUAGGUGAACUCCAGCAUUUGAAGAGACUUGAUCUAUGAGUAGUUCAGAAACAGUAGGUAGAACCUAAUAUGUAUGGUGACUUAGGGUAUGAGUGGUUCAGGGACAAAAGUAUAUGUGGUCAUUUUGUAGAUAUGUGAUUCUAAAAUACUAGAUUGACCUCAAUAUUGUUCUGGUGCAGUAUCUAGAGGCCUUUAUUUCCCCCAGUUUUGUAGUGAAUUGGUUAACAUCACCAACACAGUAUUAAGAGAAAUGUGUUUUCUACAUGAGCAGAUUGUUACUUCAUUUCUACGAUAAAUCACAGUUGUCCCUCACCUACAUUAAUAAAAUAUUAAGCUGGAUUCAUGUAGUUUCAAGUAUUGAUCAGUACAUUUCUCGUGUCUUAAUGCGAAAGAAGAAGAGUGUAGGGAAUUCAAAAAUGAUUGCUGAUACUUUGUAUGACACUUUGAACUUAAGAGCCGAAUAUACAUAACCCUGUCUUUUUAUCAAACAUCUGUAAGGUGUUUCGCGGAACCCUUUGUCUCGCCUACGAUUGCUGCUGUCAGUGUAAAAGUGCAAUGUUGACUUAAAAAGUGAGUCAAUUUAUCAGUAAAAUACAGAAUGUUAAAAAAGAUUCAAAUUUUCUCUUUAAAUGCUAUUUCUUGGUCUUGAAGAUUAGCUUCUGUCCAAGUUUCAUAACAAUCCAUGAAGUUUAACAAACUUAUCAUGUCAAAAAAAAUUUAAUC